GGGCCAGUGGCGCAAUGGAUAACGUGUCUGACUACGGAUCAGAAAAUUCUAGGUUCGACUCCUGGCUGGCUCA
This is a non-coding RNA of Salmo salar (Atlantic salmon), 73 nucleotides long. NCBI's taxonomy places the organism in Eukaryota, Metazoa, Chordata, Actinopteri, Salmoniformes, Salmonidae. The record is from Rfam.